Molecule: long non-coding RNA, 1495 nt
Filed under: Homo sapiens (human)
Lineage: Eukaryota; Metazoa; Chordata; Mammalia; Primates; Hominidae
Description: non-protein coding lnc-ZC3H12A-1:1
Source: RNAcentral
UGCUAUCCCUCCCCACUCCCCCGACCCCACGACAGGCCCCAGUGUGUGAUUUUCCCCACUCUGUGUCCAAGUGUUCUCAUUGUUCAAUUCCCACCUAUCAGUGAGAACAUGCAGUGUUUGCUUUUCUGUCCUUGCGAUAGUUUGCUCAGAAUGAUGGUUUCCAGCUUCAUCCAUGUCCCUAAAAAGGACAUGAACUCAUCCUUUUUUAUGGCUGCAUAGUAUUCCAUGGUGUAUAUGUGCCACAUUUUCUUAAUCCAGUCUAUCAUUGAUGGACAUUUGGGUUGGUUCCAAGUCUUUGCUAUUGUGAAUAGUGCCGCAAUAAACAUACGUGUGCAUGUGUCUUUAUAGCAGCAUGAUUUAUAAUCCUCUUGGUAUAUACCCAGUAAUGGGAUCCCUGGGUCAAAUGGUAUUUCUAGUUUUUACAUUUUUUUAAGCUGCAGACCCUUUUCUUUCAUUUAAAUCUUACACAGAACCCAGUGUGUGAAAUAGGUAAGGUAGGAACAUCUCUGGUUGAAACCAGGUGGGGGCUGGACUCUCACUGGUCUUCCAGCACCCCCCCAGGGGGUCUCUGAGAGGUCUGUAAGGGGACAUCUGAACACAGUGUGAAACCCACCAGGCUAGAUCCCUUCAAAAGACCCCAAUAGACUGAAUGUUUGUGCAGAGCCCUCAUAAAAGGGAUCAGUGCCCUUACAAAAGAGACCCUACAGAGCUCUCUACCCCUUCCACCAUGUGAAGACACAGCAAGAGGGUGCCAUCUAGAAACCAGGAGGUGAGCCCUCGCCAGACACUGAAUCUGCCAGUGCCUUGAUCUUGGACUUCCCAGCCUCCAGAACUGUGAGAAAUAAACUUCUGUUGUAUAUAAGCCACCCAGUCUAGGAUACAGGCAGUCCCCAACUUACAAGGGUUCAACUUAUUAUUUUUUGACUUCAUAAUGGCACAAAAGCAAUAUGCAUUAAGUAGAAACUCUACUUGAGUACCUGUACAACCAUUCUGGUUUUCACUUUCAGUGCAGUAUUCAAAAAAUUACAUGAGAUAUUCGACACUUUUUAAUAAAAUCGGCUUUGUGUUAGAUGAUUUUGCUCAACUAUAGGCAAACGUAAAUGUUCUGAGCACGUUUAAGGUUGGCUAGGCUAAGCGAUGCUGUUCAGUAGGUUGGGGUAUUAAAUGCAUUUUCAACUUAUGAUAUUUUCAACUUACAAUGGAUUUAUCAGGGCAUAACCCUAUCAUAAGUCAAGGAGUAUCUGUAUUCUGUUAUAGCAGCCUGAGCAGACUAAAACAGGCCCCCAGCUCAGAAAUGCUGUGACCCUUUAAUUCCUAGCGAAUAAUCAUAGAAAAAAACUAACACGUAUUGAGUAUUAACUAUGCACCAGGCACUAAACUAAGGGCUUUAUACAAAUUCCCUCCUUUAAUCCUCAUCACAAACCUACAAAGUAGGUUUUAUUACAUGGCAGAGACUGCCAGCUGCCCACCAAACACUACUCUCUCUUUCAUUUAA